This 1382-nucleotide long non-coding RNA is filed under the name Olea europaea subsp. europaea. Lineage: Eukaryota; Viridiplantae; Streptophyta; Magnoliopsida; Lamiales; Oleaceae. The record is from RNAcentral.
GAAAUUUUGCCAUAUCAAUGGUAAAUCCAAACGUGUGGCUGUACGUACAACAUGCUGUCUUAUCUGGUGUCUACACAUAAAUUGUGGUAGUCACACACUCUAUUUCUCUUCAUCUUCCCAAAUCUCCGCAGUUUCAUCACAGGGCCAUGGCUUCUUUCACUGUAUUCCGUGUAACCUCAUCUCAGGUAAAUUCAUCUCAUUUCUUGGACAGUUGUGCUCCAGCAAGAAUGGGAUGAACUCACCAUCACAGGAAACGCUCAUAAAAUGCGUUAGAAUCACAAUUUAGCUCAAAAGGAUAAUAGGAUGAGGGUCUCGUGUGCAAGUAUUCCUGCGGACGAUCGCGCGCCUGAUAUGGGAAAAAGGCAGCUCAUGAAUUUGCUCCUUUUGGGUGCUAUUUCACUUCCCAGUGCUGGCAUGUUGCUUCCUUAUGCUUCCUUCUUUGUCCCACCUGGGUAAUUUUCUUUACGCCUUCCUAAUUUUUCUUACCUUUUUUUUUUUUUCAUUUAUUUUGAUAUCGUUUGUGUAUAGUAAUUCUGUUGAAAGUCCAAUGUGAUUCUAUAGCUGGAGUUGAUUAAUUGAUUGAUCUUGUGAAUUAUUAAAGGAUUUGUUGUCAGAUUGUUAAUUCCAUCACUUAAAUGUAAAUUUAAAACUUGAUUCGUAUGCUAACUGCUAUGAACUUCAAUAUGGGAAAUAUGGAGCAUUUGGAAAUUUACAAGAGCUGGAGCAAAAUCCCCCAAGGAAAUUAUUAUUGGUUCAAAUUGAUAAUACUAAUCCGUGAAUUUAGAGAUUGCAAGUGGACUUAUUUUGAUAUAGAAAAUAAUCACAUUUUUGUUAGGAUUUAACACCUUAACAUGUAGUUGUGAUCAUAUUGGGAAGAAACGAAUGAUUUGGUAACAUAUCUAGAAAUCAGAGGGUGUUACCGACAUCUUUGGAGAUAGUAUGAGCCAUGAGGGAGCGUUAUGCUUCUUUUCUAACUCGAAAGUUUAUGAUGUUGGAGACAAAGCACAAAAAUUUGUAUCUCUACCAUGAGAGAGCAAUUCCUUGGCGAUGACAAAUUUUUAUGACUUGUUCAAUUGUAUUCAAGCUUUUGGCCAUUAAGGUGUAAAUUCUACAUCUGUAACUAUUGCUCGUCUUAACACAGAUGGUCAUCUAAGCAUCAUCUGGUUGUGGAACUGUAACAAAGGAUGCAAUAGGAAAUGAUGUUUUUUCUGAUGAAUUGAUCAAAAACCAUGGACCUGGGGAUUGGACCCUUACACAGGGAUUGAAGGUAAUUUUCAAUUAUCUGUAACAUGAUUGAGUUUCUUGACUGCAUUAUUUCUAGUUUUAAAUGUUAAAGGAUAACAAAUCACUGCUCAUUCAAAAUUUGAAUUUUUGUGAACAAC